This 215-nucleotide long non-coding RNA is filed under the name Elaeis guineensis (African oil palm). RNAcentral's name for it is "long non-coding RNA (EGUI_LNC014741)". Lineage: Eukaryota; Viridiplantae; Streptophyta; Magnoliopsida; Arecales; Arecaceae. The record is from RNAcentral.
UACAGAUAUCCACACGAAAACAAGAUAGAUUGAUCCUCUUAAUUUUUUCACAUGCAAUUGAUCAACUCUUAAUUACCCUUUGGAUCUCUAGAUCAAUUCCUUGAUCAGCCUUUUUCCUUUUCUUGGAUCUUCCUUGAUGUAGAUCAGCCACCAACCAAAGAGAGAAAGGAAGAGGGGACAUCCAACUAGAUUUUGAGCAUGGAGAAGUGGAUGCC